Molecule: ribosomal RNA, 253 nt
Filed under: uncultured bacterium
Lineage: Bacteria
Description: partial 16S ribosomal RNA
Rfam family: Bacterial small subunit ribosomal RNA
Source: RNAcentral
UACGGGGGGAGCAAGCGUUGUUCGGAUUUACUGGGCGUAAAGGGCGCGUAGGCGGCGUGGCAAGUCAGUUGUGAAAUCUCCGGGCUUAACUCGGAACGGUCAAGUGAUACUGUCGUGCUAGAGUACAGAAGAGGCAAGUGGAAUUCUCGGUGUAGCGGUGAAAUGCGUAGAUAUCGAGAGGAACACCUGCGGCGAAGGCGGGUUGCUGGGCUGAUACUGACGCUGAGGCGCGAAAGCCAGGGGAGCGAACGGG